RNAcentral lists this microRNA precursor (95 nucleotides) under Pan troglodytes (chimpanzee). RNAcentral describes it as "microRNA ptr-mir-551a precursor". Its record names the gene ptr-mir-551a. The stretch from base 14 to 87 matches the Rfam family "mir-551 microRNA precursor family". Lineage: Eukaryota; Metazoa; Chordata; Mammalia; Primates; Hominidae. The record is from miRBase by way of RNAcentral.
GGGGACUGCCGGGUGACCCUGGAAAUCCAGAGUGGGUGGGGCCUGUCUGACCGUUUCUAGGCGACCCACUCUUGGUUUCCAGGGUUGCCCUGGAA